CGUUAGAGCAUUGAGAGGACCUUUCCCUAGUACGAGAGGACCGGGAAGGACGCACCUUUGGUGUACCAAUUAUCGUGCCCACGAUAAACACUAGGUAGCCAAGUGCGGAGCAGAUAACUGCUGAAAGCAUCUAAGUAGUAAGCCCACCCCAAGAUGAGUGGUCUCGGAUUUCGACUUCCCUGGAGCCUCUAGUUGCACAGUCGAGACAGCGACGGGUUCUCUGUCCUUGUGGGGAUGGAGUGACAGAAGUUUUGAGAAUUUAGGAGAAGGUCACGGUGAGAUGAACCAUUUAUCAUUACGAUAGGUCUCAAGUGGAAGUGCAGUGAUGUAUGCAACUGAGACAUCCUAACAGACCAG
RNAcentral lists this non-coding RNA (357 nucleotides) under Punica granatum (pomegranate). Its description in RNAcentral is "Bacterial large subunit ribosomal RNA". It matches the Rfam family "Bacterial large subunit ribosomal RNA", at positions 2652 to 2912 of the family's 2925-position model. Lineage: Eukaryota; Viridiplantae; Streptophyta; Magnoliopsida; Myrtales; Lythraceae. The record is from Rfam by way of RNAcentral.